RNAcentral lists this ribosomal RNA (646 nucleotides) under uncultured cyanobacterium. RNAcentral describes it as "bacterial SSU rRNA". It matches the Rfam family "Bacterial small subunit ribosomal RNA", at positions 100 to 780 of the family's 1533-position model. The record is from RNAcentral. Lineage: Bacteria; Bacillati; Cyanobacteriota.
GACGGGUGAGUAACGCGUGAGAAUCUGCCUUCAGGUCGGGGAUAACAGCUGGAAACGGCUGCUAAUACCGGAUGAGCCGAGAGGUAAAAGCAAAAGUGCCUGAAGAUGAGCUCGCGUCUGAUUAGUUAGUUGGUGGGGUAAGAGCCUACCAAGGCGACGAUCAGUAGCUGGUCUGAGAGGAUGAUCAGCCACACUGGGACUGAGACACGGCCCAGACUCCUACGGGAGGCAGCAGUGGGGAAUUUUCCGCAAUGGGCGCAAGCCUGACGGAGCAACACCGCGUGAGGGAGGAAGGCCCUUGGGUUGUAAACCUCUUUUGUCAGGGAAGAAGGUCUGACGGUACCUGACGAAUCAGCAUCGGCUAACUCCGUGCCAGCAGCCGCGGUAAUACGGAGGAUGCAAGCGUUAUCCGGAUUUAUUGGGCGUAAAGGGUCCGCAGUGGGUUAUUCAAGUCUGCUGUCAAAGCGCGGAGCUUAACUCCGUACAGGCGGUUGGAAACUGAGGAACCUAGAGUCUGGGUAGGGGUCGCGGGAAUUCCUCAGUUGUAGCGGUGAAAUGCGUAGAUAUUGGGAAGACACCGGCGGCGAAGCGCGCGAACUGGAACGAACUGACCUGAGUACGAAAGCUUAGGAAGCCGAAAGGAAUU